AUCCCCAACCACCAUAUGCGAAAGGAAACAAAUUUAUUUUAUCCCAAUAACAUUUCCAGAUUCAUUCACUGGGAAGAAGUCAUGUUUAUGUUUGCUGUCGGCCAUAAGAGACAUAUACUGAACUUGCAGAAAGACACUACCAUAUUAUUAACAGCUAAAAUGAACAUUAUGAAAUGACACUUGAACCUAAAGAAAAUAUAUGAUUUAAUGAAAUGCUCUAAUCCAUCAACUCUGGCACAGGCCAUCUAACAAUUGAGAUUUAGCUAGAAUUUUGAUUUACAUACUGUUUUGUUAGAAGAAUGAUCAAGUGUCAUCAGUGCACAAUACAAGUAAGCAAGCAUAAAUAAAGAACUUCAAACAGAUUUUAAAAACUAAAAAAAUAGAACCAAAUAUGUCAGCUCUGGCACCUGAAAUCCAAACAAAAGAAGUUCACAAAAAAACAGUAGACGCGUAUACAUUUAUACACACCUGCAUGAGGACAAAUAGACAAUGAAAUUGUAAUCUCUCUAUCUAGAAAAAUAGGAUAUGCCAUUCAUUUAGGAAGUUCACUCUUAAAACUAUGAUACAACAGCAGAAUACCAAAACUACAUAUAGUCUCAUCAUCUCUUGUACCAAGAAAAUGAAUCCUAUGCUAUUCUCUUCAUCUAGGUUUAGAAAAUUAGUGGGGUAAAAACAAGUGCAUGCAACUUUGUUUACAGGUCAAUUUCAAAGGCCAAAAUUGCGAUGAAUUGAAGGAGAAGCAUAUACAGGGAAAA
Molecule: unclassified non-coding RNA, 755 nt
Filed under: Hevea brasiliensis (rubber tree)
Lineage: Eukaryota; Viridiplantae; Streptophyta; Magnoliopsida; Malpighiales; Euphorbiaceae
Source: RNAcentral